UACGUAGGGUGCGAGCGUUGUCCGGAAUUACUGGGCGUAAAGAGCUCGUAGGUGGUUUGUCGCGUUGUUCGUGAAAACUCACAGCUCAACUGUGGGCGUGCGGGCGAUACGGGCGGACUGGAGUACUGCAGGGGAGACUGGAAUUCCUGGUGUAGCGGUGGAAUGCGCAGAUAUCUGGAGGAACACCAGUGGCGAAGGCGGCUUCCUGGCCUGCAACUGACGCUGAGACGCGAAAGCGUGGGGAGCGAACCGG
RNAcentral lists this ribosomal RNA (253 nucleotides) under uncultured bacterium. RNAcentral describes it as "partial 16S ribosomal RNA". It matches the Rfam family "Bacterial small subunit ribosomal RNA", at positions 524 to 776 of the family's 1533-position model. The record is from RNAcentral.